Molecule: unclassified non-coding RNA, 243 nt
Filed under: Hevea brasiliensis (rubber tree)
Lineage: Eukaryota; Viridiplantae; Streptophyta; Magnoliopsida; Malpighiales; Euphorbiaceae
Source: RNAcentral
GUCCCAACCCCCGGCGGGGUCGUUUCCCGACUGGAUGUAUAGGCGUUUCUUGCCAUCGUCCUCGCCCUUUACCCAGUUCACGAUCGAUACGUGGACGACCGCGUCGCCUGACCACGGCAUAGUCGAGACCGCUUCGGUGAUCGUGCCAUCAUGCUUGACGAUAUGGUCAAGGCCGCUGAUGCGGGAAUAAUUCUGGCGAAUCGUGUUUGUGCCGACCAGGCCCGCCCUCUGACCCGGCUUAAG